Molecule: ribosomal RNA, 316 nt
Filed under: Arthrodamaeus sp. SS-2010
Lineage: Eukaryota; Metazoa; Arthropoda; Arachnida; Sarcoptiformes; Gymnodamaeidae
Description: eukaryotic LSU rRNA
Rfam family: Eukaryotic large subunit ribosomal RNA
Source: RNAcentral
CCAAGGAGUCUAACAUGUGCGCGAGUCACUCGGUCUUGUUUAGGCCAGAGAGGCGCAAUGAAAGUAAAGUUGAUUGAGUUACGAUCUUCAUUUAGUUAGUCCCUAGUGGCUAACUUUGAAGCGCAGUAACAGCCCGCCAAUUCCGCUUUUUGACGGUCUGGCGGAGUUGUAGCGUACACGUUGGUACCCGAAAGAUGGUGAACUAUGCCUGGGCAAGACGAAGCCAGAGGAAACUCUGGUGGAGGUCUGUAGCGAUUCUGACGUGCAAAUCGAUCGUCAGACCUGGGUAUAGGGGCGAAAGACUAAUCGAACCAUC